UACGGGGGGAGCAAGCGUUGUUCGGAUUUACUGGGCGUAAAGCGUGCGCAGGCGGCUUUGCAAGACAGAUGUGAAAUCCCCGGGCUUAACCUGGGAACUGCAUUUGUGACUGCAAGGCUGGAGUGCGGCAGAGGGGGAUGGAAUUCCGCGUGUAGCAGUGAAAUGCGUAGAUAUGCGGAGGAACACCGAUGGCGAAGGCAAUCCCCUGGGCCUGUACUGACGCUCAUGCACGAAAGCGUGGGGAGCAAACAGG
RNAcentral lists this ribosomal RNA (253 nucleotides) under uncultured bacterium. Its description in RNAcentral is "partial 16S ribosomal RNA". It matches the Rfam family "Bacterial small subunit ribosomal RNA", at positions 524 to 776 of the family's 1533-position model. The record is from RNAcentral.